This 875-nucleotide ribosomal RNA is filed under the name Lareunionomyces eucalypti. Its description in RNAcentral is "eukaryotic LSU rRNA". It matches the Rfam family "Eukaryotic large subunit ribosomal RNA", at positions 38 to 938 of the family's 3401-position model. Lineage: Eukaryota; Fungi; Ascomycota; Leotiomycetes; Helotiales; Neolauriomycetaceae. The record is from RNAcentral.
GCAUAUCAAUAAGCGGAGGAAAAGAAACCAACAGGGAUUACCUCAGUAACGGCGAGUGAAGCGGUAACAGCUCAAAUUUGAAAUCUGGCGCAAGCCCGAAUUGUAAUUUGUAGAAGAUGCUUCGGGUGCGGUACCGGUCUAAGUUCCUUGGAACAGGACGUCAUAGAGGGUGAGAAUCCCGUAUGUGACUGGCUACCUAACCUAUGUGAAGCUCUUUCGACGAGUCGAGUUGUUUGGGAAUGCAGCUCAAAAUGGGUGGUAUAUUUCAUCUAAAGCUAAAUAUUGGCCAGAGACCGAUAGCGCACAAGUAGAGUGAUCGAAAGAUGAAAAGCACUUUGGAAAGAGAGUUAAACAGUACGUGAAAUUGUUGAAAGGGAAGCGCUUGCAACCAGACUUGCGCGUAGUCGAUCAUCCGAUGUUCUCACCGGUGCACUCGACUGCGCUCAGGCCAGCAUCGGUUUAGGUGGUUGGAUAAAGGCUGUGGGAAUGUGGCUCCCCCGGGAGUGUUAUAGCCCACGGUGCAAUGCAGCCUACCUGGACCGAGGACCGCGCUUCGGCUAGGAUGCUGGCGUAAUGGUUGUAAGCGACCCGUCUUGAAACACGGACCAAGGAGUCUAACAUCUAUGCGAGUGUUUGGGUGUCAAACCCAUACGCGUAAUUAACGUGAACGGAGGUGAGAACCCUUAAGGGUGCAUCAUCGACCGAUCCUGAUGUCUUCGGAUGGAUUUGAGUAAGAGCAUAGCUGUUGGGACCCGAAAGAUGGUGAACUAUGCCUGAAUAGGGUGAAGCCAGAGGAAACUCUGGUGGAGGCUCGCAGCGGUUCUGACGUGCAAAUCGAUCGUCAAAUUUGGGCAUAGGGGCGAAAGACUAAUCGA